AUUGCACAGGUGCUGCAUGGCUGUCGUCAGCUCGUGUCGUGAGAUGUUCGGUUAAGUCCGCUAACGAGCGCAACCCUCGCUGUGUGUUACAAGUGUCACACGGAACUGCCGGUCAUAAACCGGAGGAAGUGGGAUGACGUCAAGUCAGCAUGGCCUUUAUAUCCUGGGCUACACACACGCUACAAUGGGAAGGGACAAUAGGUUGCGAAGCCGCGAGGCGGAGCCAAUCCAGCAAACUUCCUCAGUUCAGAUUGCAGGCUGCAACCCGCCUGCAUGAAGUUGGAGUUGCUAGUAAACGCAGGUCAGCCAUACUGCGUUGAAUACGUUCCCGGGCUU
RNAcentral lists this ribosomal RNA (336 nucleotides) under uncultured Anaerolineaceae bacterium. RNAcentral's name for it is "bacterial SSU rRNA". It matches the Rfam family "Bacterial small subunit ribosomal RNA", at positions 1029 to 1381 of the family's 1533-position model. The record is from RNAcentral. Lineage: Bacteria; Bacillati; Chloroflexota; Anaerolineae; Anaerolineales; Anaerolineaceae.